AUCCCGCCUCACCAGCCGCCGCACGCGGCGCCCGGCUCCCCCGGGCGCCCCUGGUGGAGCCCGAGCACCCACUACUGAACUUGGAGGCUGUUAAACGGCAGGCGAACAAGCAGCCACAUCUUAAAAGGCAGCGUUGGGGGGUCAAGAAAGAACCAUCUGGGAGGGCUCCACCCUUCCCCACCUGCAGAAAAGAGCCGAGGUGAAGCCAAGACGCCUGUCACUGCCUCGCUGGGGGUGAAAAAAAAAAAAAAACCCACAAAGAAAAGAGGCUCCUCGCAAAAUGAGACUCGGCAGUCCCUUCCCUGGGAUCCAAGGAGAACGCGACCCGGACGCCGAAGAGCAGGGAACCAGUACAACUUUCUCACUGAGACUGAUCCCCUUUUCUCUUCCAACCGUAAAAGACAGCAACCCCGGCUGUCAUCCCAUCCGCGACUGCGCCCACCGGGCUUGGCUCUCUCCAGGAAAGCCCUGAAAACCCCCAGCAGGUCUGUCCUCGUGUGACUCCCUAAAAGAGGGUAACUGGAGGACGGUUGUCCCUCCCUGGAAAAUCAGUGCCCUUCCACACCACAGCAUCCUGGAUCCCCAGUACUGACAUCCCUGUGAAGAUUCAGCCUGCUCAAGUCCUGGCCCGGUGAAGGAUUGGGAAUGAAGUCAGCAUGAGUAUGCAGCUAAGGCUGUAUGUAGCCAAAGAGCAAGGAGACUCUGCGGUGGACAGUCCUUUGUCUGCCUGCCCUCCCCGCCCCCCAGUACCAGCACCCCCUCCCCUUCUGAAGAGCCAACUGAAUCUUCCUCCCUGCAGGUGCUUCGGGAACAACGAGGACCAAUCCUCCAUUUGCCUAUUCGUUCCCCCACCACCACCACCACCACCACCACCAGAAGAACAGAUGCAACCACAUUUCAGCACCAUCCUGGGCAUUUCUUUUCCCGUCCUCUCUGUUGCUUUUCUAACUUCUGUCCACCUUUCCUCAGUCGGCGGUUGCUUUGACAAGCCGCACAUAACUGUCCUAAAAAGAUGACCUUGUGAGAGGAAGGCUAUGUCAACCUCCACCCCAUUGACCUUCAUCAUUCACGCCGCCGAUGAUAUCGGACAUAAAAGCACAGUGCCUGAGGGGAGAGAGAGAGAGAGAGAGAGAGAGAGAGAGAGAGAGAGAGAGAGAGAGAGAGAGAACAGUGCGGUGUCAGACCCGCAGUAGCAGCAGCAGCAGCAGCAGCAGCCAUCUCCUGAGAGUGCGGCUGGAGAUGCUAAUGCUUGGGCUCCGCCCCAGAAGUUGUGAAUCAGGAAUUCGGUGGGUGGGCCCCGAGCAGUCUUUCACAGGCUGCCUCCCCAGGGGAUUCUUCUGCGCACUGAAGUUAGCGAAGCACUGAUCCAGCUUGAGGAUGAAGAAGGGCUAGCUAGAAAACCGAAGUUUGUGUCCUGGCUUUGUUUCUUUGAGACAGGGUCUCGCCUACCCCAGGCAGGCCUGACUCACAAACUUUAACCAUAGAGCGCCCACACCAUUCAUGUAGUCCUGGGGACCAAACCCAGGGCUUUGCUCAUGCUAGGCACACAGCACUCAGUACCAGGCUUUUUCCUUGGGGGCCACCAACCAGCUCCCAAAUCAUGACACAGAGACUUACUAGCUUUGAUGCGUGGCCUAGCUUGGGAACGUUUCUGGCUAGCUCUUAACUCGACCUGUUUCUCUUUAUCUACCUUUUGCCUCAGGACUUGUUACCUUCCUUCCAUAUAUCCUACUUUCACUGAUUCUUUCUUCCCGGAUUCUUUCUUCCAGGCUGCCUGGCGUCUGCCUGGCUUCUUGCCCCGGGCAUGUCCCUCCUUCUCUCCUCUUCUCAUUCUUCCUUUUCCAGCCUAGAUUUCUCCUAGUUACUCUCUAUGCCUGGCUAUUGGACAUUCAGCUCUUUGUUAGACCAAUCAGGUGCCUUAGGCAGGCAAGGUGAAACAAAUGCAGCACAUCUUUACAUAGUUAAACAAAUUCAGCAAACACAAAAGUAACACACCUUUACACAGCUAAAGGAACAUUCUGCAGCAUAAACAAACUCAUCUUUGCCCAGUUGAAAUAAGAUUCCACAGCAGCCCUCCAAGUAUGCCUUAUCCGCAGCCUGUUUCUAGCUUUGUAGUUUUGGUUAAGUUAUGCAAGUUACUUCAAGUGUGUAAACACUGUAAGUGCUGUGAAGUGAUAAGCAAGUAGCAGAAUGGUUGUGAAAAUCAUUACAAACUACCACACAUUCACUGCGAAGUAUUAUCUCCCAUCCCUGCCCUUUCCCAUAGCUGUCUGGAUUACAGAGUGUCCUAGUCAGGGAUUAGGUGUUCCAAAAGGAAGUAUUCCUAAUCCCCCAAAGGCUCUUCCUAGUAAAAACCAAGAUAUACUGUCCUCUCAUAAAGAUAUGACAAAUAUGCACAUGGUGCACAAACAUACAUGCACUUAUAAUAAAAUCUCCAAAUAAAAAGAAAUGAUAGAGUUGA
This is a non-coding RNA of Peromyscus maniculatus bairdii (prairie deer mouse), 2461 nucleotides long. NCBI's taxonomy places the organism in Eukaryota, Metazoa, Chordata, Mammalia, Rodentia, Cricetidae. The record is from RefSeq and is a predicted model, not a curated record.